AUGAACGACUGCAGAGAGGAGUUGAAAUUAAGUCAGCAGAGAUCACGAUUUGUUUUGGCUCAGAUCCUAAUCCAGUUUAUAAUCCAAGGUCUGGAGUCCCAGUACCAGAUUACUCUGAGUGAUGAAGAAAUGAUAGCCAGGAACUCUGUAGACACAGACAAGGAAAAUCUGUGAUAUCCUCCUAUGUGUUGCUCUUACCUGAAGGUAUUCUGCUCUUCAUUUCAGCUUCAAGAAUGUUGAAGAAAGACUUACAGAUAUAUUUGUGUCUCAUCUGUUUCACACUGGGCUCUGCUGAAUUUAAAGCAUUCAUCUACUGAUGGAAAAAACACUUAAAUGCUUAGUUUAUACUUAUUAUACUUACUGUCGUAUUAUACCAGGAACUAGCCUUCUAUUGUAGUCAAGUUAAUCUUUUCACUAAUUUCUGCCCUAAAAUUUCACAAACAGUUGAAAAUUUUAAGAAUUAACAUUUAAAUUUGUUUUUCCACGCAGUUUUCCUUAUAGCUUCUACUCUGGAUAUUCUAGGGUUCAGUUUGACAUGCAUUUGUCUACAACCUAUAUCAUUGUGGCUGCAUGAAACUGCCUUUGUUUUCAGAUGACUGAAAUUUUUCUGUUCAAACAGUGAUGGUUAUGGUUAUGUCAUACUUCUUUUAUAUGAUUGUUUAGUGGCUAGAGCUGUUUCUACACAAUUUGGGUUUGUCUGAGUCACAUUUUCUCUCUUCCAAAGGAGUGAAGGAAUGAACCCAUUUAUAUUUGUGAUCUUUCCCCUUGAAUCUGAACUAUUGUCCAGCUAAACUGCUUUGGUGAAAUGUUCCAAAUAUAGAAAAAUCUUUAAAAUUUGUUCAUACAUUUGAAAAGACUUUCACUUUCUACCAGACAGCAGUUUUUCUCUAGGUCUUCAUUCUCCAAAGAUUUUAUCUUCUUAGGAUAUUGCAAAGAUGAAUUAUUCACCUCUGAGCCCUACUGCGGUGACAGCAAUAUGACAAAGAAGUCUAUUGAGUAAUAAUUAUUAUUCUGUUUAGUGAAAAGAAACUGGAAUAAAUAAGGUCAGAAUUACAAAAUAAAUGGGAAGAUAAGAAGAAAUAUUGAUUAGCUGCUCUUGAAAAGAGAACCAAUCAUCUCGUGCAGUGUUGAAAAAAUACCAAGUAAUUACUUAAUUAAAGAUUGUAUCACCUAUACACAUAAACAAGAGUUGAAUUAAUAAUGUACAGGCAAAAUUCUGAUGUCUGAAGAUAAUUAUGAAAAGUGCUGUAAAAUCAGUGAGGAUUUUGUUAUUGAUAUUGAUUUUGUAUGGAAAACAGUCAGUUCACAAGGUGAUGGCCUAGAUUUAGAAUCUAAGGUAGCAAAAAAAUAUUUCCAACAUAUUUAAUUAUUUUAGAGAUUAAAUCAUCAUCUUUAAUGUUUUUUGAAUACUGUAAUAUCUUUUAAAUGCAGAAAAGUAUACGGUCUUCUAUUUAAAAAUUAAUUUGUAUGGCAAAAGGAAAGUAGGUCACACAGGGAAUUCUUUUCUUUUUCUUUUCUUAAUAGGACAUCUGAUGCCAACAAAUCUCUUCUAUGAUUUAUAAUCAGAGCAUUCAACUCUCAAAAAUAAAUAAAUCUGGAACUUUGUAGUUAUUUAACAUUCAUGUUUACUAUAAAGAAAUUGAUUUAACUUGACUCAAUCUGUGUUUAAAUGGGAAAUUAUAUGGUGGUAAAAUAAUCUGUGGCUUAUAGAACAA
This 1715-nucleotide long non-coding RNA is filed under the name Anas zonorhyncha (Eastern spot-billed duck). RNAcentral's name for it is "lncRNA (ENSAZOG00000009795.1)". The record is from RNAcentral. Lineage: Eukaryota; Metazoa; Chordata; Aves; Anseriformes; Anatidae.